AGAGCGAACGCUGGCGGCGUGCUUAACACAUGCAAGUCGAACGCGCAGCAUUCUGUAGCAAUACAGGGUGUGGGCGCGUGGCGAACGGGUGCGUAACACGUGGAUAACCUUCCUUGAGGUGGGGAAUAACCCAGUGAAAAUUGGGCUAAUACCGCAUAACAUCGCGAUGGCACAUGCUGAUGCGAUCAAAGGCGCAAGUCGCCACAAGAGGGAUCCGCGGCCUAUCAGCUUGUUGGUGGGGUAACGGCCUACCAAGGCGACGACGGGUA
Molecule: ribosomal RNA, 269 nt
Filed under: uncultured bacterium
Lineage: Bacteria
Description: partial small subunit ribosomal RNA
Rfam family: Bacterial small subunit ribosomal RNA
Source: RNAcentral